This 358-nucleotide ribosomal RNA is filed under the name uncultured bacterium. RNAcentral describes it as "partial 16S ribosomal RNA". It matches the Rfam family "Bacterial small subunit ribosomal RNA", at positions 338 to 713 of the family's 1533-position model. The record is from RNAcentral.
CCUACGGGAGGCAGCAGUAGGGAAUAUUGCUCAAUGGGGGAAACCCUGAAGCAGCAACGCCGCGUGGAGGAUGAAGGUUUUCGGAUUGUAAACUCCUUUUGUUAGAGAAGAUAAUGACGGUAUCUAACGAAUAAGCACCGGCUAACUCCGUGCCAGCAGCCGCGGUAAUACGGAGGGUGCAAGCGUUACUCGGAAUCACGGGGCGUAAAGAGCGCGGAGGCGGGAUAGCAAGUCAGAUGUGAAAUCCUAUGGCUUAACCAUAGAACUGCAGUUGAAACUGUUAUUCUAGAGUAUGGGAGAGGUAUGUGGUAUUCUUGUUGUAGGGGUCAACUCCGUCGAGUUCACGAGGAAUCCUCAU